Molecule: ribosomal RNA, 252 nt
Filed under: Triticum aestivum (bread wheat)
Lineage: Eukaryota; Viridiplantae; Streptophyta; Magnoliopsida; Poales; Poaceae
Description: partial small subunit ribosomal RNA
Source: RNAcentral
AUGGAAGUUUGGGCUUUAAAAGGAUUUGGUGUUACUCAUAUUUUACAAGAGAUACUUACUUACAAAUCUGACCAUCUUAUAGCUCGCCAAGAAAUACUUAAUGCUACGAUCCGGGGAAAAAGAAUACCUAAUCAUGAGGAUCCUCCAGAAUCUUUUCGAGUGCUCGUUCGAGAACUACGAUCUUUGGCUCUAGAACUAAAUCAUUUCCUUGUAUCUGAAAAGAACUUCCAGGUUAAUAGGGAGGAAGUUUGA